AUUGAACGCUGGCGGAAUGCUUUACACAUGCAAGUCGAACGGUAGAGGGGGCAACCCCUCGAGAGUGGCGAACGGGUGAGUAAUAUAUCGGAACGUGCCCAGUCGUGGGGGAUAACGUAGCGAAAGUUACGCUAAUACCGCAUACGAUCUAAGGAUGAAAGCGGGGGAUCGCAAGACCUCGCGCGAUUGGAGCGGCCGAUAUCAGAUUAGGUAGUUGGUGGGGUAAAGGCUCACCAAGCCAACGAUCUGUAGCUGGUCUGAGAGGACGACCAGCAACACUGGAACUGAGACACGAUCCAGCCUCCUACGGGAGACAUCAGUGGGGAAUUUUGGACAGUGGACGCAAGUCUGAUCCAGCCAUUCCGCGUGCAGGAUGAGGGCCCUCGGGUUGUAAGCUGCUUUUGUACGGAACGAAAAGGUCUCUCUUAAUACGGGGGGCUCAUGACGGUACCGUAAGAAUAAGCACCGGCUAACUACGUGCCAGCCGCCGCCGUAA
Molecule: ribosomal RNA, 496 nt
Filed under: uncultured bacterium
Lineage: Bacteria
Description: partial 16S ribosomal RNA
Rfam family: Bacterial small subunit ribosomal RNA
Source: RNAcentral